GAUGAACGCUGGCGGCGUGCCUAAUACAUGCAAGUCGAGCGAACAGAUAAGGAGCUUGCUCCUUUGACGUUAGCGGCGGACGGGUGAGUAACACGUGGGUAACCUACCUAUAAGACUGGGAUAACUUCGGGAAACCGGAGCUAAUACCGGAUAACAUUUGGAACCGCAUGGUUCUAAAGUGAAAGAUGGUUUUGCUAUCACUUAUAGAUGGACCCGCGCCGUAUUAGCUAGUUGGUAAGGUAACGGCUUACCAAGGCGACGAUACGUAGCCGACCUGAGGGGGUGAUCGGCCACACUGGAACUGAGACACGGUCCAGACUCCUACGGGAGGCAGCAGUAGGGAAUCUUCCGCAAUGGGCGAAAGCCUGACGGAGCAACGCCGCGUGAGUGAUGAAGGGUUUCGGCUCGUAAAACUCUGUUAUUAGGGAAGAACAAACGUGUAAGUAACUGUGCACGUCUUGACGGUACCUAAUCAGAAAGCCACGGCUAACUACGUG
Molecule: ribosomal RNA, 497 nt
Filed under: uncultured bacterium
Lineage: Bacteria
Description: partial 16S ribosomal RNA
Rfam family: Bacterial small subunit ribosomal RNA
Source: RNAcentral